AGAAAGAAGUUUGGAAAAGUGCCAGUUCUCUGAUCAAACCUGAAGUAGGAUGGGCAGAGAAGGGUGUUGACAUUUGAGGAUGCUGUCAAGUCAAUGGAGCUCUGUUGUAGUGGUUGCUUCAGUGAACAUUCAACGCUGUCGGCCUUAACACCGAGGAUAGCAACCUAACCACCACAUGAUGUUUCUCCCCCAUCCUGACAAGCUUUACAAAAAAGGUCACAAUCAACAUUCAUUGCUGUCGGUGGGUUUAACUAUGUGGACAAGCUCACUGAACAAUGAAUGCAACUGUGGCCCCACACAUUUACAGUUGCUGGUGAGAGGAACAUCAGCUCUGAGAGCAGUAGUGAGAAGAAAAUACUUCUUAUAGGCUCUAUUUUUCUGGUGAAAAAAUAGUUGAGGACAUCCACUGUUUGCUUGUGUGUUUUUAGGUGUGUUUAAUUUCGCUGACUAGAAAAUAGAAAAUCACUGCCUUUUUCCAGAAUAUGUCUUCCCAGGGUUCGGUGCUGUUGAAACCAUACAGAUCUUUACUCAGUGGGUAUAUGAAAAUAAAUAAUAUAGUGAGUUUUAUGUAUAUUCUCCUAAUGACUAACUGCACGAGAAAUGAGUAGUAAAAAGCUCAAUUUUAAGCAGGCAUUCUGGAGCAGUUUAAAAAUUUCUACUAUAACUGUCAAAUACAAAUUGGAAGCCAGAUUUUAAAAAUAAGGAUAAAAUGUUAUAUCAAAAAUUAAUUCAUUUUACAUUAAUUUUAAGUACCUAAAGAAAUACUAUUAAGCACAUACUAUCAUAUGGGAAUUUUUAGGGAUCCUAAAGAUAACAGAAAAAUGUAUAUCCAGAAACAAUAAUGGAACAGUAGUUAAACCAUAAAAUUACUGUAACCUUUGGAUAUCUAUGUCACACUCUUGGUAUUGCUGAUAGUAAAAAGUAAA
Calypte anna (Anna's hummingbird) is the source of this 926-nucleotide long non-coding RNA. RefSeq lists it as uncharacterized. The transcript has 3 exons. NCBI's taxonomy places the organism in Eukaryota, Metazoa, Chordata, Aves, Apodiformes, Trochilidae. The record is from RefSeq and is a predicted model, not a curated record.